This 429-nucleotide ribosomal RNA is filed under the name Gemmatimonadota bacterium. RNAcentral's name for it is "Gemmatimonadetes bacterium partial 16S ribosomal RNA". It matches the Rfam family "Bacterial small subunit ribosomal RNA", at positions 355 to 776 of the family's 1533-position model. Lineage: Bacteria; Pseudomonadati; Gemmatimonadota. The record is from RNAcentral.
UAGGGAAUCUUCGGCAAUGGACGAAAGUCUGACCGAGCAACGCCGCGUGAGUGAAGAAGGUUUUCGGAUCGUAAAACUCUGUUGUUAGAGAAGAACAAGGACGUUAGUAACUGAACGUCCCCUGACGGUAUCUAACCAGAAAGCCACGGCUAACUACGUGCCAGCAGCCGCGGUAAUACGUAGGUGGCAAGCGUUGUCCGGAUUUAUUGGGCGUAAAGCGAGCGCAGGCGGUUUCUUAAGUCUGAUGUGAAAGCCCCCGGCUCAACCGGGGAGGGUGAUUGGAAACUGGGAGACUGGAGUGCAGAAGAGGAGAGUGGAAUUCCAUGUGUAGCGGUGAAAUGCGAAGAUAUAUGGAGGAACACCAGUGGCGAAGGCGGCACUCUGGUCUGUAACUGAAGCUGAGGCUCGAAAGCGUGGGGAGCAAACAGG